Pyrus x bretschneideri (Chinese white pear) is the source of this 235-nucleotide long non-coding RNA. RefSeq lists it as uncharacterized. The record is from RefSeq and is a predicted model, not a curated record. The transcript has 2 exons. Lineage: Eukaryota; Viridiplantae; Streptophyta; Magnoliopsida; Rosales; Rosaceae.
UCGUGUGGAUGUUCUGUUGCAAUAUGCUAAUGCAUUGCACUCAAGCUUUCUGACAAUUUCUGUAUGAACGCUCCAACAGGCACCGAUCACUUUCUGCCCAUUCACAGAGAAGCUCCUGCCUUUGUUGAGCAAGCAACGGAGCAGCAGAUCCUUGUUACUGGAAUCAAGGUCGUCGACCUUCUUGCUCCCUACCAAAGAGGAGGAAAGAUUGGGUUGUUCGGUGGUGCUGGUGUUG